RNAcentral lists this ribosomal RNA (504 nucleotides) under uncultured bacterium. RNAcentral's name for it is "partial 16S ribosomal RNA". It matches the Rfam family "Bacterial small subunit ribosomal RNA", at positions 29 to 523 of the family's 1533-position model. The record is from RNAcentral.
AUUGAACGCUGGCGGCAGGCCUAACACAUGCAAGUCGGACGGUAGCACAGAGAGCUUGCUCUUGGGUGACGAGUGGCGGACGGGUGAGUAAUGUCUGGGGAUCUGCCCGAUAGAGGGGGAUAACCACUGGAAACGGUGGCUAAUACCGCAUAACGUCGCAAGACCAAAGAGGGGGACCUUCGGGCCUCUCACUAUCGGAUGAACCCAGAUGGGAUUAGCUAGUAGGCGGGGUAAUGGCCCACCUAGGCGACGAUCCCUAGCUGGUCUGAGAGGAUGACCAGCCACACUGGAACUGAGACACGGUCCAGACUCCUACGGGAGGCAGCAGUGGGGAAUAUUGCACAAUGGGCGCAAGCCUGAUGCAGCCAUGCCGCGUGUAUGAAGAAGGCCUUCGGGUUGUAAAGUACUUUCAGCGGGGAGGAAGGCGACGCGGUUAAUAACCGCGUCGAUUGACGUUACCCGCAGAAGAAGCACCGGCUAACUCCGUGCCAGCCGCCGCGGUAA